RNAcentral lists this ribosomal RNA (245 nucleotides) under uncultured Ignavibacterium sp. RNAcentral's name for it is "partial 16S ribosomal RNA". It matches the Rfam family "Bacterial small subunit ribosomal RNA", at positions 524 to 768 of the family's 1533-position model. The record is from RNAcentral. Lineage: Bacteria; Pseudomonadati; Ignavibacteriota; Ignavibacteria; Ignavibacteriales; Ignavibacteriaceae.
UACGUAGGGGGCAAGCGUUGUCCGGAUUUACUGGGUGUAAAGGGCGCGUAGGCGGGCUCGUAAGUUAGAGGUGAAAUCCUGCAGCUUAACUGCAGAACUGCCUUUAAUACUGCGAGUCUUGAGUGCGGAAGAGAGAAGCGGAAUUCCAGGUGUAGUGGUGAAAUACGUAGAUAUCUGGAGGAAUACCAGUUGCGAAGGCGGCUUCUUGGUCCGUUACUGACGCUGAGGCGCGAAAGCGUGGGGAG